Molecule: ribosomal RNA, 460 nt
Filed under: uncultured bacterium
Lineage: Bacteria
Description: partial 16S ribosomal RNA
Rfam family: Bacterial small subunit ribosomal RNA
Source: RNAcentral
CCUACGUGAGGCAGCAGUGAGGAAUAUUGGUCAAUGGACGGAAGUCUGAACCAGCCAUGCCGCGUGCAGGAAGACGGCUCUAUGAGUUGUAAACUGCUUUUGUACAAGGGUAAACCUGAAUACGUGUAUUCAGCUGACAGUACUGUACGAAUAAGGAUCGGCUAACUCCGUGCCAGCAGCCGCGGUACUACGGAGGAUCCAAGCGUUAUCCGGAUUUAGUGGGUUUAAAGGGUGCGUAGGCGGAUUGAUAAGUUAGAGGUUAAAUUUCCGAGCUUAACUCGGGAACUGCCUGUAAUACUGUUGUUCUAGAGAGUAGAUGCGGUAGGCGGAAUGUAUGGUGUAGCGGUGAAAUGCUUAGAUAUCAUACAGAACACCGAUUGCGAAGGCAGCUUACCAAUCUAUAUCUGACGUUGAGGCACGAAAGCGUGGGGAGCAAACAGGAUUAGAUACCCCGGUAGUC